This 253-nucleotide ribosomal RNA is filed under the name uncultured bacterium. RNAcentral's name for it is "partial 16S ribosomal RNA". It matches the Rfam family "Bacterial small subunit ribosomal RNA", at positions 524 to 776 of the family's 1533-position model. The record is from RNAcentral.
GACAGAGGUGCCAAGCGUUAGGCGGAAUCACUGGGCUUAAAGCGUGUGUAGGCGGAUCGUUAAGUACCUUGUGAAAUCCCUGGGCUCAACCCAGGAACUGCGUCCGAUACUGGUUGGCUUGAAUCCGGGAGAGGGAUGUGGAAUUCCAGGUGUAGCGGUGAAAUGCGUAGAUAUCUGGAGGAACACCGGUGGCGAAGGCGACAUCCUGGACCGGUAUUGACGCUGAGGCGCGAAAGCCAGGGGAGCAAACGGG